GGUAAUCAGCAGUGAUUAAUUUUGUACAUAAGCGCAAGCUUGAUUCAGUUAAAGAAAAGAGGGCCGGCUAACGUUGGUGCCAGCCGCCGCGGCUACACCCUAGGGCUCAAGUUGAUAAUCAUCGGCGUUAAGCGUGAUUAAAGUUACUAAAAUAUUAGGAUUAAAUUAACACUUAGUAGUUUUAUGCUUGUUGUUAAGAAACACACAAACGAAAGUUAUCCUAUAUAUACUUGAAUACACGACAGCUAGGAAGACAAACUGGGAUUAGAUACCCCACUAUGCCUAGCCGUAAACAAUUAAUUUACACCUAUCAGCGCCAGGGAACUACGAGCAAUGCUUAAAACCCAAAGGAUUUGACGGUGUCCCACCCAGCUAGAGGAGCCUGUUCUAUAAUCGAUGAUCCCCGCUACACCCGACCAUUUUUAGCUAAUCAGUCUGUAUACCUCCGUCGAAAGCUUACCAUGUGAACGCUCUUCAGUAGGCUCAAUGAUUCAAUACCCAUCAACACGUCAGGUCAAGGUGCAGCUUAAGAAAUGGGAAGCUAUUGGCUACAAUUUCUAACUUAGAACAAACGAAAGGCUAUGUGAAAUCAUAACCAUGAAGGUGGAUUUAGUAGUAAAAAGAAAAUAGAGUGUUCUUUUUAACCCGGCUCUGG
This 655-nucleotide ribosomal RNA is filed under the name Lithobates berlandieri (Rio Grande leopard frog). RNAcentral's name for it is "partial small subunit ribosomal RNA". It matches the Rfam family "Bacterial small subunit ribosomal RNA", at positions 343 to 1377 of the family's 1533-position model. Lineage: Eukaryota; Metazoa; Chordata; Amphibia; Anura; Ranidae. The record is from RNAcentral.